Long non-coding RNA from Aedes albopictus (Asian tiger mosquito), 3800 nucleotides. RefSeq lists it as uncharacterized. The record is from RefSeq and is a predicted model, not a curated record. Lineage: Eukaryota; Metazoa; Arthropoda; Insecta; Diptera; Culicidae. The transcript is spliced from 2 exons.
GAUAGGCAAGUUGAGCUAUGAUUAUCUUUGCUGCCGUUCUAUAGCAUAUCUGUACCAUGUUGUUUUCUACGAUUGUGCUACUUUUCCCCGAAUGUCGUUUCUCCGAACGCCAGUUCCCCGAAUGGCCCGUUUCCCCGAAAAUUACAUUCUUGAUAGAAAUGAUCAUUUACAAAUGGCACUAGGUUGUUCAAAAAGUUAUUUGACCAUAAUUUAACAAUAGGAGACAGUCAGUGAUGUACUAAAUUUGAAGUAAUGAGCUGAAUUUUGUAUUUUUUUUUUGUAAUUUGUGUUUCAAUUUAGAAACUAAAUAAAACAAAUUAAAUCAACAAAACUUAGCAAUUUAACAAAUGACUAUCAGAAGGCCGGCUCCAGAGGCACGUUAUCCUCCAUUUGGGACUUUUAUUCUAUAAAACAUUUGAAGGAAGACAAUGUUGGUUUCUGUUUCACAUCGUUUGGCAGAUCAUUUGGCUCCGUACACUCGCACACUCUUCCCACUGGUGGUAGUAUGCCGGGGAACGAUGAAACAACGGGUUCACUGCUGUUGUCCUCGUUGUAGAUGUUCCUCGACGUAAUCCGGUAGAUUCCCGUAGUACGCCUGUCUCAUAAAGCAGUAUAUUCUGAGGCAAUCGUUGGAUGGCAAGUCGACUCACAGAAUUGAGUUCCGAACGGUUGCAGUUAUUUCUCGCUGGCGAAGGUUAUACACAAAACGUAUUGCAGAUCGGAAGCUUCUGUGAAGUCGCUCUUCUAGAGCUACAGAUAGUCCAGGGUAGUAUUAUAUGAAAAUGGGCAUCACUACCGCUUGCACGAGCUUUCGUAGAGUGGCUAAUGAGAGCACCGAGGCGAACCGACGAAAUGUACGUAACACAUUGUACGUUCUUAGGACUACCGUGCCAUGCCCUAAUACUGUGUAUUUGACAAAAAACUCAAAUAUUUUACUAAGUGUAUUAUUUUUUUAACUGAGUAACUAGUUCAAUCAUAAGCAUAUCAAACCUUCUCAAGUUAGACGUGAUAAAUUUAGCACCUAUUUACAAAAAACAAGCAAUUGAAAAUAUUUACACAAUGUGAGUACAAAGUAACAAUACACGAUAUUAGGACAUGGUUUCUUUCGUGUUCCAAAUACCGUGUCUCGGCUAAAAUUUGCAAACUGAAAAUAUUAUUAGUACUUUUUACUUUAUGAAUCAAUUGCACAAACCUCUAGGCAACGUUUGACGCACAGGUUCUUUUAAGUAUGAACUUAGUAUGAUUGAUAUAGUGAUGAUUCAAAGGACCACUAAUGUAUGUGGGUCACAUACACGGUAUUAGGAACAAAGCUAUGCUAUACAAUUUUGAUUUUAACAAUGGAUAGAACAUUUCGAAUUCCAUUAAUCAUAUUUAUUAUACAUAAUAUACACAAUAAGCAAUACUAUAGCGUUUGAAAAAUCAAGAAACAUGGAUUAUUGAUUUUUACAGGGCUCUUUGAAGUGAAAAGCAUCCUUAAGGUCACGGAAUUAGGGCAUGGCACGGUACAUCGUUCACUUGAUGAGACCAAGAUAGACAGCGUUCCAGUUUAAGGCCAAGGUUUGUUACUGCGGUGGUUAACGGCACAAUUUCUCCACAAAAGAUUAUGUUGGGCUGUGGCAUAAUUGGUCUCGACUUUUUGUCUGCUGUGGAUUGGGGGCUAAUCGGUUUGCAUCGGCCCAGCGAGAUAUUGCUUCAAGAUCAAUGUUGAUCUCUCGUACAAGUAUCUCGAUUUCGGAGGCUGGACCGGAAAUGUAGACUUGCAGGUCAUCGGCAUACAAAUGGUAGUUGCAUUUGAGUGACAAAGGCAGGCUAUUGAUGUACAUACUAAAAAGCAGCGCGCUCAGACUAGAUCCCUGAAGUGUACCAUUAAGGAUAUCCUUCUCACCAGACACCACACUUCCUAGGCGCAUUGACUACUCACAGUAUACCAAGAAUGAUGAAAUCAGGUCGCAUGCAGCCUGAGAGAAGAAGAACUCGCGUCGGAGUUUGUUACUCAAAAUUUCCUGGCUUACGCAGUUGAAAGCGAGAGAAAAGUCCACCAUGACUGUACAGAGAUCGUUUUUAAUCCUUUCUUUCCCACAAGGUUUUUUGACAUUUAAAAAUAGAUAAAAUGGUUUCUAAACAAAUCACUAGAACAAAAGAUGUAUAGUUUUGCUCCAAAAUAUCGUUAGAAAUGAAAAAUUUAAUAUUUGAGGUGGAUCACCUGUGAUCCAUUGGGAAGAUGGAUGCACUGAAGGCACAUAUAUAAAUUUUGUUUUUAAUUUGUUUAUUGUUUUUUUUCAAACUAUAUAUUUAUAAAUCGUCUAUUACACCUUUAAUUUAUCUCGAAAUUCUUAUCUAGCCCUUCUGUUAAACUUAAUGAAACUUGUCGAACUUCUUGCAGUUAUCAUAAGUAGUUAUUCAGACAUGGUUCUCUUCGAAUCUGGAUUCUCCUCGUACCAUAUAAACCCUCCUGGAUUCAUCUGCGACUUAUUGCCGGCGCUAAAUAGAUUACAUUAUAUGAAAUAAUGACAUUUUUACAUGAAACACUGUUAAUAAUGGCAAAUGUCUUAGAUGUAAACAAACAUUUUAACAAGGAACAGGUUAGAUCAGGAAGGAUAAAAAUGUCGUUAUGUUCCCAAUGGAUCACUGAUGAUCCUAAUGUUUGUUCAUAAAAUUAGUGUUUUAUCGUCAACUUGUUUGUGAAACGGUAUUUUAUUGUGCUAAUAUACAUACUGUAGGGCAUGCUAGUAUUUUUUUCCGCUGAAAAUAAUGUUCAUGUUUGGGAAUAUUGAAUAUUCAAAUAUUGUUUGAAUUAAAAUAAAAAAAAUACCGACUUUCGCUAAAUCAUUUAGCUCUAGAACAAAAACGAGCAGGAAGAUUUUCACCAAACUUGGCAUAAUAGUUCAAUAAACAUAUACAAACAUCUGACGAAAAAAUGGAAAUGAUCUAACUUAUACUGUGUUUGUAUGAACAGUGCAAAUUAGUGGAUCACCUGUGCUACCAUGGGAAAGAGAGGGUUAAGAUUCAUUUACACGUCGUGUACAACUUUGGUGAGGGCAGUCGUUGUACUAUACCUUUUCCUGUAACCUGAUUGGAAUCUCGCCAGUUAGGGGGGCAGUGGAAUUGUCGAGAUGUUCUGUUAUUUGCGACAACAGUAUUUUCUUGAACACUUUGGAAAUCGCAGGUAGAACACUGAUAGGACGAAAUUUUUUGGGUAGAGUACACUCUAAAGAAUUUUCACGUCCGAUUUACGUGAAAUAUCACGUAGCUCAUCCUUAUUCUCAAAACCUCAGAAGUUACGUGAAGUUAGUAACCUUCACUCAAUAACCACGUCGUAUGCACCACCCUGUUUGGUGCAAUCCACCUUAUUUUCACGUUAAUCGUUUCAAUGCGUUUGUGUUAGUGUACUUUCGACUUGGAAGUUUCCGCGAAAGGAAAGUUACGUGACUUUCAGGUGUGAAAAUAAAUGCAGUAUGGCGUCGAGAAGUAAGUUGGUGCAAGAAAUGCUUGCGGAUUUAGAGCUUCCGAGCAAGUUGCUCCAAGUAUUGAAAAUUUAAGAAGCUGGACCGUCUUCUGACGGUAACGGAGGACCAGUUCAGCGAAGGCUUGGAACAACUGGACGACUAAGAUUUUGCGUCAAAAUCCUUAGAUUUGGAAUCAAGUUUGGAAUUAUCCAAUCUUGGAGAGGACCCGAAAGGUAUAUAUACACAUCAUGAUUGUCCCAGAUGUUUUCUAAUACAUUUGUGUUUCCUUUUUCCUCAGAAAGCAACAGUGCGAUCACUGCAUUUAAUCGACCAAGCGGAUAUCCCGAAGCUACU